CCUACGGGCGGCUGCAGUGGGGAAUAUUGGGCAAUGGGGGCAACCCUGACCCAGCAACGCCGCGUGAAGGAAGAAGGCUUUCGGGUUGUAAACUUCUUUGACGAGGGAAGAAAGCAAUGACGGUACCUCGAAAACAAGCCACGGCUAACUACGUGCCAGCAGCCGCGGUAAUACGUAGGUGGCAAGCGUUGUCCGGAUUUACUGGGUGUAAAGGGCGCGUAGGCGGGAGAACAAGUCAGAUGUGAAAUGUGGGGGCUUAACCCUCAAGCUGCAUUUGAAACUGUACUUCUUGAGUAUCGGAGAGGCAGGCGGAAUUCCUAGUGUAGCGGUGAAAUGCGUAGAUAUUAGGAGGAACACCAGUGGCGAAGGCGGCCUGCUGGACGACAACUGACGCUGAGGCGCGAAAGCGUGGGGAGCAAACAGGCUUAGAUACCCUGGUAGUC
RNAcentral lists this ribosomal RNA (443 nucleotides) under uncultured Sporobacter sp. RNAcentral describes it as "bacterial SSU rRNA". It matches the Rfam family "Bacterial small subunit ribosomal RNA", at positions 338 to 795 of the family's 1533-position model. Lineage: Bacteria; Bacillati; Bacillota; Clostridia; Eubacteriales; Oscillospiraceae. The record is from RNAcentral.